Molecule: long non-coding RNA, 1308 nt
Organism: Xiphophorus hellerii (green swordtail)
Lineage: Eukaryota; Metazoa; Chordata; Actinopteri; Cyprinodontiformes; Poeciliidae
Exons: 3
Source: RefSeq, a predicted model, not a curated record
AGUGCUUUAACUUGCUCUCCUAGAAUUAAAAUAAGCACGAUGGAGGAAGCCUGUUUUAUCUUUUCGUUUUCUUUUUUUGCAUUUCUUUUGCUGCUUUUGAUUUAUACAAAUGAUUCAUAUGAGUUGGGGUCUCAAAGCGAUUGUCAAAUUGUUUUUUUUUUCAGAAGUGGCAUAACACAAAGAAUGUAACAAUCAUGGUCCUGAAUAUGUCAUGGUUAUCUCUUGAAGCUCUUACUCUAGCUGCAUUCCGCACCAGAGGAUUGUGCUCGCUCUUGUUGGUACUACACUUUUUCUUCCACUCAACUUUCCAUUAAUGUAUUUGAAAUAUACCUCUCUGUUUAUUUAUUUAUUAUUUAAUUUACCUUUUAUUUAUACCGGUUGUCCGAUUGCGGUUUUCGGCUUCAGUGACACCAAAACAACUCUUGUACCGUAAAACACCGUGUAUGGAUUAGACUUUAUUCUGUAGUUUAAACGCGUUUUUCCAUGUGUGUGCUUACUACACUUUCUCUCCCACUCAACUUUCCAUUAAUGUAUUUGGAUACAGCACAAUAUGAACCAGUGCGCGUGUGUGUGUGCGCGUGUAGGGGUGCGUGUGCGUGAAGAGGGUUUGCGCUUUUACGCUUUGCGGUGCAUGGGUGAGCAUCGAGGGGCUGGGAUUUUGCAGCCUAAGCAUCGCGAUGCUGCGAGAGUUGCGAGACGCUGUGAGGGGAGCACGCCAGUGAGAAGCACACACACACACUGAGGAGCUGCUGACACCAUGGAUGGAUGCACUGUUUAAACGGCUGUUAGGCUCGUGAAAGGCACAUCCUGACACCAUGGUUCUGACCGCGCUGACCCAGUUUAGCUUCAAGAGUCCUGAUCAUAUAAUCUUCCAAUGUCUGCUCCUCAUCUGCUUUCUGUAAAUCUGGAGAGAACACAGGUUCUGGAUGAUGGGAGCAUCAGUAACACCUUCACCCAUAAAUCCCUGUUCCCAGAGGACAUGGAUCCCCCCGUCAGUCAGAGGGACCCUGAGUCCUGAAGGGACCCUGUGGGUGACCGUACGACGGACCACAGAGGCGAGUGGACCAGAGCCACUGGGAGGCCAUACCUACAGCAGAGAGGCUCACCUUUGACCUUUGUGUCCUCUCGAUGACAAUCGUAGCUUUCAUUUAGAUGAGUACUGAUUCCAGUGAGUGGAGGUGAUUUUAGUAACACUGGCCUUUUUGUUCAUUCUUGUCCUUAAACAUUAUUACAUACUUGAUGUCACUGUCCACAAUUGAUUCUUGGGUUUCUUUUCAAUUGAAAUAAAACCUGAAAACACACACUUUA